Calidris pugnax (ruff) is the source of this 863-nucleotide long non-coding RNA. RefSeq lists it as uncharacterized. The transcript has 4 exons. The record is from RefSeq and is a predicted model, not a curated record. NCBI's taxonomy places the organism in Eukaryota, Metazoa, Chordata, Aves, Charadriiformes, Scolopacidae.
CUGAGGCGGCAACUUUUAGCCCUGCCCACCGCUUCUUACCGUCUCUUCCCGCUGAGGGGACCCUGUUCCCGGGGAAAAAAACUCCAGGUUCAGAGCUGUUCAGUGACUUGUCCAAAGGCAUAUGCAAAUGCAGUGGCAACAUCAAGCCUGUGAUCAACCUCAGCCCAGAGCAGGAGCCCAGUUGGCUCCCACCACCAUGUUUCUCCCAGCUCAGGCUCCCUGUUGGUGUGGUUUCAGCUCAGACUCAAAGAAUUUCCUUUCAAAAAUGGUAGGAAUGGAUCAUGGCUACAGUGUGGCUGUAGGAGGAACUCCGUGCCUGUUUGCAGCAGCCGGUUUAGAGCCUUUGCUGCAUCAAGCACAGAGGAGACAACAGGAACAGCAAACGAUUGUAGUGCUCUAGAAAAACCACACUUUUAUCUAGAACUCCCUUUGGCUUACCGAGAAUCCACGUAGUGACCUGAAGUCUUCCACCAUGAGGCUGUGCUUACAAGCUCUGACAAAAGAACCUUCUCCUACAGAGCACCUCUAAGAUGACAGAUGCACUUAAGAGUAAAGAGUAUUGGAACAGAGGUGUCUAUGGCAAAGUACCUUCAUUCAGGUUCGUAUGAAACACAGCAUUAUCAACCAAUGAACACUGCAAAACAGUCAGAAGAAUAGGCUCCAGUUCCAUCCAAAGAGAAAACUCCUAAGUAACAGCAGAUAAAGGUAGGCAGACCAUUUACAUCACUAUCAAUGUGGUAUCUGUUUUGCAAUGUUUGGUAGGUAGUUUCCAAGUUGUAAGAAUUUGCAAUACAAAGCCUCAGCCUAGCAAGUUUCUUUUAAUUUUUAAAUGUACAGCAUUUUAGUUCUACAAAUGUAAAAAA